AGCAGAAGCCAUAGAUUCCACGUUCAAGUAAACAAACAAAGAAAUAAAAGCGAAUUAGAGAGAGAGAGAGAGAGAGAUGAAAGCUGUCUCGUGAAGCAGCAGCUGAAGCCAAAAGAAAUAAAAGAUCUUUCUUUUCUCUCCUUAUCCCCUUUCUCUCUCUCUCUCUCUCUCUCCUUUCCUUCCAUUGACACUCGCAUUCAUUCUUUGCUUCCUCCUUUUAUAUUCACGAGAUCCCCAUCUCUCUCUGUGAUGUCUUCUUCAGAGACAUUUCUAGGUUUGUGUUUUCUACAUCGCUCGUUUACUAUUCUGUGUUGUGUUGCUUUAUUUGGUUUUCUAUUCCCAUUCACAGACAUUGCUUCGAGCUGUGAGGGUAGUGCUUGAGAAAUUAGCUGGGAAGGGGAUAUCAGAGGUUGAGAUACAAAGAGCUUUCAUUUUGUUUGGCUGCUGAGAAAAUGUCGUAUUCCGGGAAGCCCAAUGAGGAAAUGGGGCUUGACUCGCUAACUGAUCAGCUCCGUGAUUCUCUUUCUUCUCUUGAGGCCAAUAAGCCUGAUUUCCGUGAACUCGAUCUGGGCUCUCCCGUUUCUCCUCUCCGAACUCGUGGACUUAACACUACCGCCACCACCACCACCACCACCACUACCAGCUCUAGUUCUAGCUCCUCUGGAUCCGUUUCCGGCAGCCGAAAUGGGCACAACCCAGUUCUCAAAUCCGGUCAUUCUGGCGAGCUUUGUAGCUCCAGCGAAACCUGUCCUCCAACUUCUUUCAGAAAUUCCAAACAGGGUACCACCAGAUCCGACCCUUUAAUCUACUCGGCCGGCGGCAGUCAGAGCUCGGUGAACUCUCCUGCACCUGUUAAUGUACUUCCCGCCGGGAACAUCUGUCCGUCGGGAAGGAUCUUAAAGCCAGGUAUGGCAAUGACCAGCCGGAGUUCCAAGACGGACGUUUUAGGUUCGGGAACGGGAAAUUACGGGCACGGGAGUAUAAUGCGGGGCGGAGGAACGACUAAAUGCAGUAAUUUGGAUGCGGGAAAUUCGUUGAGUAGCAGUACUAGUACUGUCCGUGGAAGUGUUGGUGGCGCAAGGAUGGGGGGAGUGGAUCCAGAGGAGUUGAAGAGGGCCGGGAAUGAAAUGCAUAAGAAAGGCCAUUUUGGGGAAGCAGUAGUGUUGUAUGACAAGGCUAUAGCUUUGGCACCGGGGAAUGCAGCUUACAGAAGUAACCGGGCGGCGGCUUUGAUGGGUUUGGGAAGAGUAGCAGAGGCAGUGAGGGAGUGUGAGGAGGCAGUAAUGUUGGAUCCUAAUUAUUGGAGGGCACAUCAGAGGUUGGGAUCUUUGUUUAUUAGGUUAGGACAGAUAGAGAAUGCCAGGAGGCACCUAUGCUUUCCAGGGCAUCAUACAGAUCCUUCUGAAUUGCAGAAGUUGCAGUUGGUAGAGAAGCAUCUGAACAAAUGUUCAGAUGCCCGAAAGGUUAACGAUUGGAAAAAUGUGUUAAGGGAAAGUGAAGCUGCUAUUGCUGCUGGAGCUAACUAUUCUCCCCAGCUCUUUAUGUGUAAAGCUGAAGCUCUUUUGAAGCUCCACCAACUCGAAGGUGCCCAAUCAUGCUUAUCAAAUAUUCCAAAAUUGGAACCAUAUAGCAACUCUUGCUCACAGAGCAGGUUUUUUGGGAUGCUUUCUGAAGCUUACACUUUCUUAGUUCAAGCACAGAUUGAGAUGUCUAUGGGAAGGUUUGAGAAUGCAGUUACAGCUGCUGAGAAAGCUGGACAGAUUGAUCCACAGAAUGGCGAAGUGUCAAUGCUGCUUCACAAUGUGAGAUUGGUGGCAAGAGCUCGUGCACGUGGCAAUGAUCUCUUCAAAUCUGAGAGGUACACUGAAGCUUGCUCAGCAUAUGGGGAAGGCUUGAGGCUAGAUCCUUUGAACUCUGUUCUCUAUUGCAACAGAGCUGCUUGUUGGUUUAAGCUUGGAAUGUGGGAGAGGUCUAUUGAUGACUGCAACCAAGCGUUGCACAUACAACCUAAUUAUGCUAAAGCUCUUCUUCGAAGAGCUGCCUCAAAUAGCAAGCUAGAAAGGUGGGCUGAUGCAGUGAGGGAUUAUGAGAUUCUGAACAGGGAACUUCCGGAUGACAAUGACGUUGCUGAAUCUCUAUUUCAUGUGCAAGUUGCAUUGAAGAAAUCACGUGGAGAAGAAGUGUAUAAUAUGAAGUUUGGUGGUGAAGUGGAGGAAGUAUUGGGACUUGAGCAAUUCAGAGUUGCUAUAUCUCUCCCUGUUUUAUGUCACAGGCAUCUCAGUAGUUCAUUUCAAAACAUCCUCUAAUUUGCACUGCAAACAAAUAUCUCCGUUUGUGGAUACCCUAUGCGGUCGCUAUCCAUCCAUAAACUUUCUCAAGGUGAAUAUUGAAAACAUCCCAGCAGUUGCAGAUGCUGAAAAUGUGAAGAUUGUACCAACAUUCAAGAUCUACAAGAAUGGCAGUCGAGUGAAGGAGAUUGUUUGCCCAAGCUGUGAUAUGUUAGAACACUCGGUGAGGCAUUAUAGCUUUUAAAACUCAUGGCUCCACAUGUACUACUAUUCUCCCAGUUUUCUCAUUUCCUUCUUUCUAAGCCAAAACCCCAUUUGAUGGGAACCCUUUACUGCCCUCCAAGCUUUCCUCCCACCUCGUAAGGAUUACCAGAUACCUGUCACAUAAACCAGAGUUACAAAAUAAUCCAUUAGCGGCCAUUGCCAGAGGAACCCAGAUAGAUAGCUUAGUUUCUCCUCUAGCUGUUAUAAUUUAUUCAUUCAUUCCUCAUUGCUCUCUGGUUCCAUGUUCUUCCUCCCAUCACUUUUUGUUAUUACAAAUUAUAUGCUCUUUGCAAUUUUUUUUCUUUCCAUUUUCUUGUAGGCCAGCCUGUUCUUGUAUCCCCCACUUUCUUUCACAGGAAAAAAGAAAAGUAAAGGAAAAAAGAUCUGUACAAUUGAUUAGGGAGAUUUCCUAGUUUGAGAGAGACUAGCAGGCUGGGAUCUUGUACAUGUAUAUAUAUAUAUGUGAUAUAUACAGAAAGAAAUGGACAGCUUGCGGGAGAUUGGAUUCCUGGUGGGUACUUAUGGGUUAGUGAAAAAAAUGAUAAAUCUGUUGUUUAAUUAAUAUUGUUGUUUCUUUCCUCAACCAUUUCAUUUCAUCAAUAAAAAAAAAUCCCCAUUUUUUUUUCC
Molecule: RNA transcript, 3179 nt
Organism: Manihot esculenta (cassava)
Lineage: Eukaryota; Viridiplantae; Streptophyta; Magnoliopsida; Malpighiales; Euphorbiaceae
Gene name: TPR repeat-containing thioredoxin TTL1
Exons: 7
Source: RefSeq, a predicted model, not a curated record